CCUACGGGUGGCAGCAGUGAGGAAUAUUGGUCAAUGGCCGAGAGGCUGAACCAGCCAAGUCGCGUGAGGGAAGACGGCCCUACGGGUUGUAAACCUCUUUUGUCGGGGAGCAAAGCGAACCACGUGUGGUUCAUUGAGAGUACCCGAAGAAAAAGCAUCGGCUAACUCCGUGCCAGCAGCCGCGGUAAUACGGAGGAUGCGAGCGUUAUCCGGAUUUAUUGGGUUUAAAGGGUGCGCAGGCGGAAUGUCAAGUCAGCGGUAAAAUUUCGGGGCUCAACCCCGUCGUGCCGUUGAAACUGGCGUUCUUGAGUGAGCGAGAAGUAUGCGGAAUGCGUGGUGUAGCGGUGAAAUGCAUAGAUAUCACGCAGAACUCCGAUUGCGAAGGCAGCAUACCGGCGCUCAACUGACGCUCAUGCACGAAAGCGUGGGUAUCGAACAGGAUUAGAUACCCGAGUAGUC
This 459-nucleotide ribosomal RNA is filed under the name uncultured bacterium. Its description in RNAcentral is "partial 16S ribosomal RNA". It matches the Rfam family "Bacterial small subunit ribosomal RNA", at positions 338 to 795 of the family's 1533-position model. The record is from RNAcentral.